GACGAACGCUGGCGGCGUGCUUAACACAUGCAAGUCGAACGAUGAACCACUUCGGUGGGGAUUAGUGGCGAACGGGUGAGUAACACGUGGGCAAUCUGCCCUUCACUCUGGGGCAAGCCCUGGAAACGGGGUCUAAUACCGGAUAACACUUCUGCUCUCAUGGGCAGGGGUUAAAAGCUCCGGCGGUGAAGGAUGAGCCC
Molecule: ribosomal RNA, 200 nt
Filed under: uncultured bacterium
Lineage: Bacteria
Description: partial 16S ribosomal RNA
Rfam family: Bacterial small subunit ribosomal RNA
Source: RNAcentral